Molecule: non-coding RNA, 102 nt
Organism: Acanthosepion pharaonis
Lineage: Eukaryota; Metazoa; Mollusca; Cephalopoda; Sepiida; Sepiidae
Source: the annotation of a GenBank genome assembly
CAUUUUGAAACACCGGUUCCCGUACGAUCACCGAAGUUAAGCAAUGUCGAGCCUGGUCAGAAACUAUAUGGGUGACGGCAUGAAAAAUAGGCGGUGUUGUAA